UACGAAGGGGGCUAGCGUUGUCCGGAUUUAUUGGGUUUAAAGGGUGCGUAGGCGGCCUGGUAAGUCAGUGGUGAAAGCCCAUAGCUCAACUAUGGAACUGCCAUUGAUACUGCCAGGCUUGAGUACAGACGAGGUAGGCGGAAUUGAUAGUGUAGCGGUGAAAUGCAUAGAUACUAUCAAGAACACCGAUUGCGUAGGCAGCUUACUAGGCUGUAACUGACGCUGAGGCACGAAAGCGUGGGGAGCGAACAGG
RNAcentral lists this ribosomal RNA (253 nucleotides) under uncultured bacterium. RNAcentral describes it as "partial 16S ribosomal RNA". It matches the Rfam family "Bacterial small subunit ribosomal RNA", at positions 524 to 776 of the family's 1533-position model. The record is from RNAcentral.